GGCAUAGCGCUUCAUCAAUUAACAAAAUGUUAUCUAAUAAUAAAUCUAAACAGCAAACACGCCAAAAAAAACCAUAAAGUAAAAUGAUGCAUAAAAAUAAAAAGGUUAUGGAAACUAGAUAUUUAAAAAUUAGAUUGAUACAAUCGUUACCCGAGUGUUUUAAUCAUUCAAAAGGUUUCCGAAAAUAAAAUAUAACAAAAUAAAAUGUUGCUACCAUCUGUUACGUAUGUGUUGAUACAAAUGUCUGCGUGGAAUAUAUAUCCGAUUUCUAAAUCACAGUGUAUUUUAUAAAACUUAAAUUCAUACUGCGGUUAUUAAACGAGAAAACCAUUCCAGUUGUGAAAUUUUGCAGUACUUGACAAUCCUUUUAAUAUCUUUUUCCGUGUGACUUCAAAUAUUCAUUUUCCUUAUUUAUUAUUACUAGUAUAUUAUGUGAUUGUAUAAGUUAUAAAGCUUCGAAG
RNAcentral lists this long non-coding RNA (461 nucleotides) under Mytilus galloprovincialis (Mediterranean mussel). The record is from RNAcentral. Lineage: Eukaryota; Metazoa; Mollusca; Bivalvia; Mytilida; Mytilidae.